Molecule: RNA transcript, 2890 nt
Organism: Olea europaea var. sylvestris
Lineage: Eukaryota; Viridiplantae; Streptophyta; Magnoliopsida; Lamiales; Oleaceae
Gene name: mitochondrial metalloendopeptidase OMA1
Exons: 4
Source: RefSeq, a predicted model, not a curated record
AAACAAUAACAAUUGGUCAAAUUCUAAAAUUCAGGCUCCACCGGCGCCCUCACAUGGCAAGAAUACUUCCAGACACGUCUACACACUCCUCUAUUGCAUUCCUCACCCACCGAUCACCGCAGUUCCAUUCAAAUUCUUUAGCCCACAUCUGAAAAUUUCCCUUUCUUUUUUCUCUGUAUUCGAAUAAAUUUCUGUGAAAAUUUUCAUUUUCCUGUUUCUUUUUUCUCGAAGAAACUUUUUUGUUGAUGUUAUUAUCUUCGUAUUCGACUGCAGUUAUUUUACCAUAUUAUCGUGUUUUCGAUUGAUUAACAUCAUGGGAUGGUACAGAAGACCAUUUAGAUUCAUUUUUGAUGCUUUUCGUAGCUACAACUCAAACAUUACUGUGCAUAGAAGCCUCAUUCAAGAACCGAGUUUAAGAACUGGUUGCUACACUGAUUCUUUGAAGCCCAGCUUCACUAAAUCGAGAAUUUCUGAAUUUUCUCAACCAAUUUUUAGGAAUUCUGCUUUACAAAAUGGGUUUAAAUCAAUCCAAAGUAAUAGCCCCUUUCUUCACGGAGUGAAGAGGUUUUACUAUGUGGACAGGUACCAGGUUUACCACUUCAAGCCAAGAGGUUUCAAAAGGUGGUUUCAGAAUCCCAGAAACGUGAUUAUUGUGGUUUUGGUAGGCUCUGGGGUUGUUAUUACUGUAUACUAUGGGAAUUUGGAGACUGUUCCUUACACAAAAAGAACUCAUUUUGUAGUUUUAUCAAAAAGUCUGGAAAAAGAGCUGGGAGAGACUCAAUUUAAGCAGAUGAGACAAAGUUUUAAGGGGAAAAUCCUGCCCCCACUUCACCCAGAGAGCAUUAGGGUUCAAGCAAUAGCGCAUGACAUAAUUGAGGCUUUACAGAGAGGUUUGAGAAAAGAGAAGGUGUGGAGUGAUGUAAGGUACUCACCAGAGAGUGUUGGGUUGCCUCACGAGACUAGUGGGCACGACAUUUUGAUGGGAUUGGGUGACAAGGUUGCUGAUGAGGAGAAGUGGUUAAAGGAGGAGAAAUGGCACAAGGAUGAUGAAAUUCUUGAUGAUCAUUGGGUGCAGAAGAGUAGGAAGCAUGGUCAAGAGAAAGGGAUGAAAUCCGAGAGCGGGCAUUUGGAGGGUUUGAAGUGGGAGGUUAUUGUGGUUAAUGAGCCUAUAGUUAAUGCCUUUUGUAUGCCUGGUGGUAAGAUUGUUGUUUUUACCGGGCUGCUUAAUCAUUUUAGAUCAGAUUAUGAAAUUGCUACCAUUCUCUCGCAUGAGGUUGCUCAUGCUGUGGCUAGGCACUCGGCUGAACAAAUUUCAAAGAACCUAUGGUUGGCCAUUUUACAGUUAAUUCUGUACCAGUUUGUGAUGCCCGAUAUAGUCAACACAAUGUCAAAUCUCUUCCUAAGGCUUCCUUUUUCUCGGAGCAACGACUGCAUUUGGCAAAUGAUGGUUAUUUAAGGGGAGUAUGUAUGCGUAAUAGACAUUGAUACGAGAAGUACGAUUGUUUCACAUUCUAGUAGGAAUAUGACAGGAUGUAUGAUCUCUAUUCAGUUCAGAAUUCUCUAUUAUUUACCAGAAUAAGUGUCAUCCUGUUCGUUAUGCAGCAAAAACAUUAUUUUUAGCUGUCUGCCUGUUCUCCUUACAUUUCCACUCUAGGAUACAAAAUAUUCAAGAAAAUGAUUCAUGCAUUUGAGAGGUAUAGAAUUCAUAAUGAUUACAGCUUAUAUAGAUGUUUGCAGAUUUCUUUGUUCUUCUGUUUCCUUCAAAAUAUACAUAUUUUCCAUGAACCUUAGAUUUACUCGUCUGACUUAAGGUCCUUGUUGAUCAGAAAAAAAGCUAAUCCCAUAUCACCAGAAAGUUGUGGAUUAACUGUGUCUGGUCGUUGGAUUAGUGGAGUCUAAUUGUAUGUUACACUAUUCUCUGACCAAGGGAAUAUUUUCAAGUAUUAUAUGGGUACUUUGAGAAGUUCACACAUAAAAUAGGUUGUCCUAAUGUUUCUUCCUAUAUAUGCUGAGUUGAGAGAACAUAGCAGAGAGGUCUGAGUUCACAUAACAUAUUGUAAUCCUUUUGCUUCAACUUUGUGAAACUAUGCAGCUGCAAGUGAACAUAGCUCUUGAAUUGGCGGUGAACCACUAUAAUUUUUGAGUUCUUUACUUGCUUUCAAUUUUUUCUCUGUUGUUUUAUUGCCCUUGAUAGCACAGGAUUAGUGAUUAAUCCAUAUCACAUGUUCUUUGUUAGCAACGGAAAAUUAUUAUUUUUUAAAUUUAUGUAUUGUGUCGAAUUCAGAUUGUUUAUUGCAUGGAAUUUCGUUGAAAUGUGCAUAUUACUCCACACCUUAUGUAUGAAGAGUUCGAACUUGGAAAUUGUGCCUUUCGAAAUACUAAAAUGAAGUUUAGCUGGCUCGCUUUCUUGCAAUUGCCAAUCUUGCUAGGUUGCUCUGACCAUUUCCACCUUUAAGUUGAGGUCCAUUUAGUAUUGAUGCAUGACUUUGUUAUGGUUCCAGGAGUGUUAGUUUUUAGCUGAUUAUCACAAAGAAUACGAGGUUUAAAUUAUUUUUCAAUUUCAAAUUCAAAUUUAGUAAGAAUCCAUCACAAAUGGUGCCAAAGGGUUCAUCCGUAAAUUUUUUUAGUAGUAAGAAACUAACCACCAGAACAUCACAUAUUAUAACGCAUUGGAACCAGAAAUUUAGCAUUCAAGAACACAUGCAACGCUUAUUUGUGCCUUCAGAUUCUAUAAAACUUUGUUUUCCCUGCUUUUCGCGUCAAAUUUGGAGCGUAAAUACUGUACAGUAACUUUGGUUUUGAUGAGCAAAUAAUUCCUUGAUGGUUUAAUGUUUUACCUUUUCAUGAAUUGCGUUGCAUUUGGUUUCACUUAAGAAAAUAACCCAUUCCC